UGGAGACUUGCUGGGGCUCCACUCCCUGCGGGAGCUAUUGUUGGUCUCGCUGGAGCUGAGCGCAGAGCCGGGACCUGCUCCUUCCUGGGCGCCCUGCUCGGGCACGCGGAGCCGAGGAGCCUCGCCGCCGAGAGCGAGAGGAGCCACCGGCGCGGCGCCUUGCCUCUCUGCCGCCCUCCUCCCCGCUUCCCCGGCGGUGGCAGCCUGCAGCCACGAUGGAAAAACUGAGAACCAGAGAGGGCUAGUGAUCUCUCGGACUCUUGGUCAGUAGAAAGGAUCCCGUCCCAUCCUCCAGGAUCCGAUGGCCCUGGAGAGAGGGCUGCAGGGCCCACGGACACUGCUGACUCUUCAGAACGUGCUGACAUGGGGCCAGGUAGACUGAAAUUACCAUGUGUCCAAAUUAAAACUGCAUACUUCAAGGAUUAUUUGAAGGAUUAUUCUUAGACCCUUUUAAGAAGAUUUAAAGAAAAACCACUCGGCCCUGAGUGCGGCAAGGACCCUGUUUGUGGAUGUGGAGGAGCGCCGGCCGGAGGCCAUGGACGUAAAGGAGAGGAAGCCGUACCGCUCGCUGACCCGGCGCCGCGACGCCGAGCGCCGCUACACCAGCUCGUCCGCCGACAGCGAGGAGGGCAAGGCCCCACAGAAAUCCUACAGCUCCAGCGAGACCCUCAAGGCCUACGACCAGGACGCCCGCCUCGCCUACGGCAGCCGCGUCAAGGACAUGGUGCCGCAGGAGGCCGAGGAGUUCUGCCGCGCAGGCACCAACUUCACCCUGCGUGAGCUGGGCCUGGGGGAGGUGACGCCCCCGCACGGGACCCUGUACCGGACAGACAUCGGCCUCCCCCACUGUGGCUACUCCAUGGGGGCCAGCUCCGAGGCCGACCUGGAGGCCGACCCUGUGCUGUCCCCCGAGCACCCCGUGCAGCUGUGGGCCCGCAGCACGCGGUCGGGGCGCAGCUCCUGCCUGUCCAGCCGGGCCAACUCCAACCUCACGCUCACCGACACGGAGCACGAGAACGCGGAGACCGGUGCUCCCUUGCAUUGUUCAUCCGCUUCAUCAACCCCUAUUGAGCAGUCCCCCUCCCCGCCCCCUUCCCCUCCGGCCAAUGAGAGCCAGAGGCGGUUGCUAGGCAACGGUGUGGCCCAGCCAACCCCGGACUCAGACUCUGAGGAAGAGUUUGUCCCUAAUUCAUUCUUAGUUAAAAGUGGCUCCGCCAGCCUGGGGGUCGCGGCAAACGAUCCCGCGGGCAGCCUGCAGAACCACUCUCGGCUCCGGACACCGCCGCUGCCGCUUUCGCACGCCCACACCCCUAACCAGCACCACGCGGCCUCCAUUAGCUCCCUGAACCGGGGCAACUUCACUCCGAGGAGCAACCCAAGCCCGGCCCCCACGGAUCACUCGCUCUCCGGAGAGCCCGCGGCCGGGGGCGCGCAGGAGCCGGCCCACGCCCAGGACAACUGGCUGCUCAACAGCAACAUCCCGCUGGAGACCAGAAACCUAGGCAAGCAGCCAUUCCUAGGGACAUUGCAGGACAACCUCAUUGAGAUGGACAUUCUCAGCGCCUCCCGCCAUGAUGGGUCUUACAGUGAUGGGCACUUCCUCUUCAAGCCGGGAGGCACCUCCCCGCUCUUCUGCACCACGUCGCCGGGGUACCCUCUGACGUCCAGCACCGUGUACUCACCUCCGCCCCGACCCCUGCCCCGUAGCACCUUCUCCCGACCGGCCUUCAACCUCAAGAAGCCCUCCAAGUACUGUAAUUGGAAGUGCGCGGCCCUGAGCGCCAUUGCCAUCUCAGCCACGCUGGUCAUCCUGCUGGCGUACUUUGUGGCCAUGCACCUGUUUGGCCUAAACUGGCACCUGCAGCCGAUGGAGGGGCAGAUGUAUGAGAUCACGGAGGACACAGCCAGCAGUUGGCCUGUGCCAACGGACGUCUCCCUGUAUCCCUCAGGGGGCACUGGGUUAGAGAUCCCUGACAGGAAAGGCAAAGGAGCCACGGAAGGAAAGCCCAGUAGUUUCUUUCCCGAGGACAGUUUUAUAGACUCUGGAGAAAUCGACGUGGGGAGACGGGCUUCCCAGAAGAUUCCUCCUGGCACUUUCUGGAGAUCUCAGGUGUUCAUAGACCAUCCUAUGCAUCUGAAAUUCAAUGUGUCUCUGGGAAAGGCGGCUCUGGUCGGCAUUUAUGGCAGAAAAGGCCUUCCUCCUUCACACACACAGUUUGACUUUGUGGAGCUGCUGGAUGGAAGGAGGCUCUUGACCCAGGAAGCACGGAGCCUGGAGGGACCCCAGCGCCAGUCUCGGGGAGCUGUCCCCCCUUCUAGCCAUGAGACGGGCUUCAUUCAGUAUUUGGAUUCAGGAAUCUGGCACCUGGCUUUUUAUAAUGAUGGGAAGGAGUCUGAAGUGGUUUCCUUUCUCACCACUGCCAUUGAAUCUGUGGAUAACUGCCCCAGCAACUGCUAUGGCAAUGGCGACUGCAUCUCUGGGACCUGCCAUUGCUUUCUGGGCUUCCUGGGCCCUGACUGCGGUCGAGCCUCCUGCCCCGUGCUCUGCAGUGGGAACGGCCAGUACAUGAAGGGCAGGUGCCUGUGCCACAGCGGCUGGAAGGGCGCCGAGUGCGACGUGCCCACCAACCAGUGCAUCGACGUGGCCUGCAGUAACCACGGCACCUGCAUCAUGGGCACCUGCAUCUGCAACCCCGGCUACAAGGGCGAGAACUGCGAGGAAGUGGACUGCAUGGACCCCACGUGUUCGGGCCGGGGGGUCUGCGUGAGAGGCGAGUGCCACUGCUCUGUGGGCUGGGGAGGCACCAACUGUGAGACGCCCAGGGCCACGUGCUUGGACCAGUGUUCGGGCCACGGAACCUUCCUCCCAGACACCGGGCUUUGCAGCUGUGACCCAAACUGGACUGGACACGACUGUUCUGUCGAGAUCUGUGCUGCCGAGUGUGGAGGCCACGGCGUCUGCGUGGGGGGCACCUGCCGCUGCGAGGACGGCUGGAUGGGGGCGACCUGCGACCAGCGCGCCUGCCACCCGCGCUGCGCCGAGCACGGGACCUGCCGGGACGGCAAGUGCGAGUGCAGCCCGGGCUGGAACGGCGAGCACUGCACCAUCGAGGGUUGCCCUGGCUUGUGCAAUGGCAACGGCAGAUGUACCUUGGACCUGAAUGGGUGGCACUGCGUCUGCCAGCUGGGCUGGAGAGGAGCUGGCUGUGACACGUCCAUGGAAACCGCCUGUGGCGACAGCAAAGACAACGAUGGAGAUGGCUUGGUGGACUGCAUGGACCCCGACUGCUGCCUCCAGCCCCUCUGUCACGUCAGCCCCCUGUGCCUGGGCUCCCCCGACCCUCUGGACAUCAUCCAGGAGACACAGGCCCCUGUGUCCCAGCAGAACCUGCACUCCUUCUACGACCGAAUCAAGUUCCUCGUGGGCAGGGACAGCACGCACAUCAUCCCCGGGGAGAACCCCUUUGACGGAGGGCAUGCAUGUGUCAUUCGUGGUCAAGUAAUGACAUCAGAUGGGACCCCGCUGGUUGGUGUGAACAUCAGUUUCGUCAAUAACCCUCUCUUUGGAUACACGAUCAGCAGGCAAGAUGGCAGCUUUGACUUGGUCACAAAUGGCGGCAUCUCCAUCAUCCUGCGGUUCGAGCGGGCCCCCUUCAUCACACAGGAGCACACCCUCUGGCUGCCUUGGGAUCGCUUCUUUGUCAUGGAAACCAUCAUCAUGCGGCACGAGGAGAAUGAGAUUCCCAGCUGUGACCUGAGCAACUUCGCCCGCCCCAACCCUGUCCUGUCUCCUUCCCCACUGACGUCCUUCGCCAGCUCCUGUGCAGAGAAAAGCCCCAUCGUUCCGGAAAUUCAGGCUUUGCAGGAGGAAAUCGCCAUCUCUGGCUGCAAGAUGAGGCUGAGCUACCUGAGCAGCCGCACCCCCGGCUACAAAUCUGUCCUGAGGAUCAGCCUCACCCACCCCACCAUCCCCUUCAACCUCAUGAAGGUCCACCUCGUGGUGGCGGUUGAGGGCCGCCUCUUCAGGAAGUGGUUUGCUGCAGCUCCAGACUUGUCCUAUCAUUUCAUCUGGGACAAGACAGACGUCUACAACCAGAAGGUGUUUGGGCUCUCGGAAGCCUUCGUUUCUGUGGGUUAUGAGUAUGAAUCCUGCCCAGAUCUGAUCCUGUGGGAAAAAAGAACAGCAGUGCUACAGGGCUAUGAAAUCGAUGCUUCCAAGCUGGGAGGAUGGAGCCUGGACAAACAUCAUGCCCUCAACAUCCAAAGUGGCAUCUUGCACAAAGGGAACGGGGAGAACCAGUUUGUGUCUCAGCAGCCUCCUGUCAUCGGGAGCGUCAUGGGCAACGGACGCCGGAGAAGCAUCUCCUGCCCCAGCUGCAACGGCCUUGCUGACGGCAACAAGCUCCUGGCCCCCGUGGCCCUCACGUGCGGCUCCGACGGGAGCCUCUACGUGGGAGAUUUCAACUACAUCCGAAGGAUCUUCCCCUCCGGGAACGUCACCAACAUCCUGGAGUUGAGUCACACUCCAGCGCACAAAUACUACCUGACCGCAGACCCCACGAGCGGGGCUGUCUUCCUUUCGGACACCAACAGCCGGCGGGUCUUCAAGAUCAAGUCCACCGUGGUGGUGAAGGACCUCGUCAAGAACUCCGAGGUGGUGGCGGGGACAGGUGACCAGUGCCUCCCCUUUGAUGACACUCGCUGUGGGGAUGGUGGAAAAGCCACGGAAGCCACACUGACCAACCCCAGGGGCAUCACUGUGGACAAGUCCGGGCUGAUCUACUUCGUGGAUGGCACCAUGAUCAGACGCAUUGAUCAGAAUGGGGUCAUCUCCACUCUGCUGGGCUCCAACGAUCUUACCUCAGCCCGGCCCCUGAGCUGUGAUUCUGUCAUGGAUAUUUCUCAGGUUCGCCUGGAGUGGCCUACAGACUUAGCCACCAACCCGAUGGACAACUCCCUCUAUGUCCUGGACAACAACGUAGUCCUGCAGAUCUCUGAAAACCACCAGGUUCGCAUUGUCGCCGGGAGGCCCAUGCACUGCCAGGUGCCCGGCAUCGACCACUUCCUGCUGAGCAAGGUGGCCAUCCACGCAACCCUGGAGUCGGCCACUGCCUUGGCUGUCUCUCACAACGGGGUCCUGUAUAUCGCUGAGACCGACGAGAAGAAGAUCAACCGCAUCAGGCAGGUCACCACUAGCGGAGAGAUCUCACUGGUUGCCGGGGCCCCCAGUGGCUGCGACUGUAAAAAUGAUGCCAACUGUGAUUGUUUCUCUGGAGACGAUGGCUAUGCCAAGGAUGCAAAGCUGAACACCCCAUCUUCCUUGGCUGUGUGUGCUGACGGGGAGCUCUAUGUGGCUGACCUUGGGAAUAUCCGAAUCCGGUUUAUCAGGAAGAACAAGCCUUUCCUCAACACCCAGAACAUGUAUGAGCUGUCCUCCCCAAUCGACCAGGAGCUCUACCUGUUUGAUACCAGUGGCAAGCAUCUGUACACCCAAAGCCUACCCACAGGAGAUUACCUGUACAACUUCACCUACACUGGGGAUGGCGACAUCACACUCAUCACAGACAACAACGGCAACAUGGUGAACGUCCGCAGAGACUCUACAGGGAUGCCCCUCUGGCUGGUGGUCCCAGAUGGCCAGGUGUACUGGGUGACCAUGGGCACCAACAGUGCACUCAAGAGCGUGACCACACAAGGACACGAGUUGGCCAUGAUGACGUACCACAGCAACUCUGGCCUUCUGGCAACCAAAAGCAAUGAAAAUGGAUGGACGACGUUUUACGAGUACGACAGCUUUGGGCGCCUGACCAAUGUGACCUUCCCUACUGGCCAGGUGAGCAGUUUCCGAAGUGAUACAGACAGCUCAGUGCAUGUCCAGGUAGAGACGUCCAGCAAGGACGACGUCACCAUAACCACCAACCUGUCUGCCUCGGGUGCCUUCUAUACACUGCUGCAAGACCAGGUCCGGAACAGCUACUACAUCGGGGCCGACGGCUCCCUGCGGCUGCUGUUGGCCAACGGCAUGGAGGUGGCCCUGCAGACGGAGCCCCACCUGCUGGCCGGGACCGUCAACCCCACCGUGGGCAAGCGGAACGUCACGCUGCCCAUCGACAACGGCCUCAACCUGGUGGAGUGGCGGCAGCGCAGGGAGCAGGCUCGCGGCCAGGUCACCGUCUUCGGGCGCCGGCUUCGGGUUCACAACCGGAACCUCCUGUCUCUGGACUUUGACCGUGUGACACGCACAGAGAAGAUCUAUGACGACCACCGCAAGUUCACCCUCCGCAUCCUGUACGACCAGGCGGGGCGGCCCAGCCUCUGGUCACCUAGCAGCAGGCUGAAUGGUGUCAACGUGACCUACUCCCCAGGGGGCCACAUUGCUGGCGUCCAGAGGGGCAUCAUGUCUGAGAGGAUGGAAUACGAUCAGGCGGGUCGCAUCACAUCUAGAAUCUUUGCUGAUGGGAAGACCUGGAGCUACACGUACUUAGAGAAGUCCAUGGUGCUGCUCCUCCACAGCCAGAGGCAGUACAUCUUUGAGUUUGACAAGAACGACCGCCUCUCUUCUGUGACCAUGCCCAACGUGGCCCGGCAGACGCUGGAGACCAUCCGCUCAGUGGGUUACUACAGGAACAUCUACCAGCCCCCCGAGGGCAACGCCUCAGUCAUCCAGGACUUCACGGAGGACGGCCACCUCCUCCACACCUUCUACCUGGGCACCGGCCGCAGGGUGAUAUACAAGUAUGGCAAGCUGUCCAAGCUAGCCGAGAUGCUAUACGACACCACCAAGGUGAGCUUCACCUACGACGAGACCGCCGGCAUGCUGAAGACCAUCAACCUACAGAACGAGGGCUUCACCUGCACCAUCCGCUACCGUCAAAUCGGGCCCCUGAUCGACCGCCAGAUUUUUCGCUUCACCGAGGAAGGCAUGGUCAACGCCCGCUUUGACUACAACUAUGACAACAGCUUCCGGGUGACCAGCAUGCAGGCCGUGAUCAAUGAGACCCCGCUGCCCAUCGACCUCUAUCGCUAUGACGAUGUGUCGGGCAAGACGGAGCAGUUCGGGAAAUUUGGUGUCAUCUACUACGACAUUAACCAGAUCAUCACCACAGCGGUCAUGACCCACACCAAGCACUUUGACGCAUACGGCCGGAUGAAGGAAGUGCAAUACGAGAUCUUCCGCUCGCUCAUGUACUGGAUGACCGUCCAGUAUGAUAACAUGGGGCGAGUCGUUAAGAAGGAGCUGAAGGUGGGACCCUAUGCCAACACCACCCGCUACUCCUAUGAGUACGACGCCGACGGCCAGCUGCAGACGGUCUCCAUCAAUGACAAACCACUCUGGCGAUACAGCUAUGACCUCAAUGGGAACCUGCACUUACUGAGCCCCGGGAACAGUGCACGGCUCACCCCACUACGGUAUGACCUCCGUGACCGCAUCACCAGGCUGGGUGACGUGCAAUACAAGAUGGACGAGGACGGUUUCCUGAGGCAGAGGGGCAGUGAUGUCUUUGAGUACAACUCAGCGGGCCUGCUCAUCAAGGCCUACAACCGGGGUGGUGGCUGGAGCGUCAGGUACCGUUACGAUGGCCUGGGGCGGCGGGUGUCCAGCAAGAGCAGCCAGAGCCACCACCUGCAGUUCUUCUAUGCAGACCUGACCAGUCCUACCAAGGUCACCCACCUGUACAACCACUCCAGCUCUGAGAUCACGUCCCUCUACUACGACCUGCAAGGACACCUCUUUGCCAUGGAGCUGAGCAGCGGAGAUGAGUUCUACAUAGCCUGUGACAACAUCGGGACCCCUCUUGCUGUCUUCAGUGGAACGGGCUUAAUGAUCAAGCAGAUCCUGUACACGGCCUACGGGGAGAUCUACAUGGACACCAACCCCAACUUCCAGAUCAUCAUUGGCUACCACGGUGGCCUCUACGAUCCGCUCACCAAGCUCGUCCACAUGGGCCGGCGAGAUUACGACGUGCUGGCUGGUCGCUGGACUAGCCCAGACCACGAGUUGUGGAAGCAGCUUAGUAGCAGCAAUAUCAUGCCUUUUAAUCUCUAUAUGUUUAAAAACAACAACCCCAUCAGUAACUCUCAGGACAUCAAGUGCUUCAUGACAGAUGUCAACAGCUGGCUCCUCACCUUCGGAUUCCAGCUUCACAAUGUGAUUCCCGGCUAUCCCAAGCCAGACAUGGAUGCCAUGGAACCAUCCUACGAGCUCAUCCACACACAGAUGAAAACUCAGGAGUGGGACAACAGCAAGUCUAUUCUUGGGGUACAGUGUGAAGUGCAGAAGCAGCUCAAGGCCUUCGUCACCCUGGAACGUUUUGAUCAGCUCUACGGCUCCACAAUCACCAGCUGCCAGCAGGCCCCAGAGACAAAGAAGUUUGCAUCCAGUGGCUCAGUCUUUGGCAAAGGGGUCAAGUUCGCCUUGAAGGAUGGCCGAGUGACCACAGACAUCAUCAGUGUGGCCAACGAGGACGGGCGGAGGGUUGCUGCCAUCUUGAACAACGCCCACUACCUAGAGAACAUGCAUUUCACCAUUGACGGGGUGGACACCCACUACUUCGUGAAACCAGGACCUUCGGAAGGCGACCUGGCCAUCCUGGGCCUCAGCGGGGGGCGGCGAACCCUGGAGAACGGGGUCAACGUCACUGUGUCCCAGAUCAACACGGUGCUCAGUGGCAGGACUAGACGCUACACAGACAUCCAGCUCCAGUACGGGGCACUGUGCUUGAACACCCGCUAUGGGACAACACCGGACGAGGAGAAGGCACGGGUGCUGGAGCUGGCCCGGCAGAGAGCCGUGCGCCAGGCCUGGGCCCGCGAGCAGCAGCGACUUCGGGAAGGGGAGGAAGGCCUGCGGGCCUGGACAGAGGGCGAGAAGCAGCAGGCGCUGAGCACGGGGCGGGUUCAAGGCUACGACGGCUUCUUCGUGAUCUCGGUCGAGCAGUACCCGGAACUGUCAGACAGCGCCAGCAACAUCCACUUCAUGAGACAGAGUGAGAUGGGCCGAAGGUGACAGAGAGGACCGUGGCCGGGACUUCUUGCCAAAGACAGCUACUCUUUUGUGGCCGCAUACCUGACUGUGUUGUACUUAAAAAAAAAAAGAAUCCUUUUUUUAACAAGUGCAGAAAGCAAACAAACAAAAAAGAUACUGGGUUGCAUUGUAAUUCAUGCAACAUCCUUUUUUUUUAAGAAAAGAAAAACACAAAUUUGGCCUUCACACAUUUUUUGCAAAGAACAGAAGUCAGAUGUGAGAACCAGCACUGCACAGCAAGCCCUCAGUGUGGGCACCACGUCCAGAAGGGAAGGUCACCCACGGCAAAAGAAUGGCAGUGGUGGCAAGGGUACCAGCCUGCCUUCCUAGGUGAAGCCCUCUCCCCAUGACUUUGGGUAUCUUCCCUCCACUGCUCAGCUGCCACCACUGAGAAAUAGGAGUGUGGAGAGAGGUGCUUGGUGGCCUUUGAUUGUGGAAAGAGGCUUAAGAAGAAGUCAGCCAGACAGAGGAAAGCAUGAGUCAAGCAUCCUUCUAACGAGCUCCUGAAGGCUCCUCUGCCUCUCAUGUAUUGGGCUAAUUGCAGAGCUGGGAUGCAGCUGGAUAGGCUUUCAGGAAAUUCCUUCUGUGAAGUUCUUCUAAAACAGCUUCCCCUCUAGAGGAGCCCAACUGGGGUUUUAAAGCAAGAUUAAGGAGAAAGGAGGAAAGAGAUAAUUUGGUGUGGCCGGGCAGCAUCAAGCUACCCGACCAGGAUUGGGGGCGGUUCCUGAGGCUGGUGCCCAUGGAUCCAGAAGGCCGGGCUACAGUUUUCCCUGUGAAGACCUAUGCCUGUGGUCAGUGGGCAGAAGUUUAAGUCCUUUCAGGAGCAAGUACACCCCACACCUGGAGGGCAUGCCCAGGGAGAGGCAUCAGCCAAUGGGCCGGGGGAAGCAUUGAGAGUAGGGGAGAGCUAGGAGCUCCUUUCUCCUGUUUUAUCUGCCUAAUUACCACUGUCAUUACCUCUCACAGGAGGCUCUGGGAGACCAGGAGGGGAAGCCAAAUGCUUCCUUUUAAGCUGGGCUCCUUAGAAAAUGGGACUUUUAUGGGUUACAUUUUACAUUGAGUGUGGAAAAUGAAUUUUGAGUCUGAGCUCCUUCCCGUGGAAACCUUGUUGGACUGACAAGCUCAUGGCACCUUUAUAGCCUUACUCACAGAGUCUUCAGAAUAUUCCAUGAGUUAAUGAAACCGAAAAGGUCUCUUACUGCAUGAGAAUCGGAGCAGCACGGAGGCCGGGGUCUGCCUGGCAGAGGGAGGCACCCAGAGCUUCUCGGGAGAGGAGGUUUUGCCUUACGUCAUCCCACUGGGAUGAGAGGAUGUGUUUCGCUAAGUGCUCUUCCUGUUUCCAAAAAAAGUGACACUGCUGCUACGGUGUCUUGGACUAUUUGUCCACUGCUCCCAGAGCUCCGCUGAGUCAGAUGCAGUGCUCCCGGGCCCACUGUGCAAGGCGGGAGCUGGCGGCGGGUCCCAUCCGGCAGGAUCGUUCUUGGAUGGGAUGGAAAAUAGUUUGGCCUGAAGAACACAAGUUGUUGUUUUUUUUUAAUCCAAAAUAGACUUACGCCUCUCAAAUGUACUCUUGAUACAAGGAGCCCUUGAGCAAUGGGACCCUGCCCAUUGACCUAGAUGAUCAAUUCCAUCCUGGCUUCCUGACAUCAGUCAAGACCUGCUGGGGACGUCUACUUGGAGGUCAGAGACAGCACGAGGGCCGAAUGAACCAUCUCCCCACACCUCCCCAACCCUCUGACUCUCCACCCCUCACCCCCACCCAAGUAGCAGUGUGGACUCUUAAAGAUCAAGAUCACAGAGAAUAAUUGAGCACUCCUUUCCUUUAAACGAAUGACGUUACAUUUUUUCUGGGCCACGUACCACCAAGGAGGCAUAGCUUCUGUACGGGGAGAAGAGGAAGCAUCCCCAGCCUUUAGAGAGGACCUCAGGUGUGGGGCAGGUAGCAUCACGCACCUCAGUUUCACACUGCUGCUGUUGCUGUUGAAGGUGGUGCUUCUGGCCUCGGCCCUUCUGAGUUGGUUUCCAUUUGGGCUGGCAGGUGACUCACUGCCUCCACUCUCAGUCUGUCCUGCUGAGGCCAGCAGUGCCAAUCGCACCACAAGAGUGAGUCUGAAGGCAUAAGCCAGAGUUCCCUGUGCCUGCUCAGCGGCCUCCAGGCAUCAAAUCCCAUCUUUGACGGCACCUGCCCUUUUGGCAUUAACCAACCAAAACGUGUGCGUUCCUUAGAAUUACCAGCCCUCCCUCACUGGCUCAGGUUCAUUAUCCUGCAGGAUGUCAGCUUCUGACCCUAGAAAAAGGGUUAUUUUGGAAGAGCUCCUGCCUUCUCCCGUAUCCUCCACAGCUGCCAUCAGCUCCUCAUCCUCAGCCCCUCUGUCAUCACCUGAAAUAGGACUUCAGUGAUUCCCCAACUUUGUUUUUUAUAGGAUGAGAUUUCCUUUUUAUCCACCCUCCAGGCAGACAUCACUGGAGGGCAGAGCUAUGACAACGGGAAGAAGGGAAAGGAACUCCACGAUCAAUUACCCCUGAUGCUUGUCUCUCAGAACUGUCCACUGAGAAUUAACCCAAGGAACAGACUAGUGCCUGAUUUCUACCUAGGGAUGGAGGAUUUGAAACAAUUGCUAAGAAACUGACCAGAGGUUGAAAAUGGCCAGAGGGCGUGAUUUUAAAGAAUCGGGAUGAGGUGGGGCUGGGAGCAGAAGGUGAUAUAGGCAAGGAAGGGGAAUAAAAUUCGGCAGUGUUUUUAUAGGCACGUAACAAGGAAUCAGAUUUGUUUAAAAACAAACAAAAAAUAAUAAUAAAGGACCUUUUUAGCUGUGACUUUUAAGUACCACCUUAUAGGUGGCAGGGGUUUCCAAUAUGCAAAGAUGAGAUUUCCAUGUGAAAUCUUAGAAUAGUUUCACAUCUGCAGCCUGGUAUUUGCAGUUGCCACGAGGUGAGGACCAUGAGGCUGAGCUUGGUGCCCAGGAGGAAGGAGUCUGCCGGGCCUCAGCGGGGUCUUGGGUUUUGGGGUUUGUUCCCCUGGUGCUUAAAGUCGAAUCUAUCCUCCACUCCUCACAGCAGCCGCUAAGCCCCGGCCGUGGCUUCUGGUCCUGAGCUGGGACCUGCCUCCUGAGGGGUCUUGGAAAGCACCCAGUCUCUUUUUUCCCUGGGGAUCCUCAUUAGGAUUAAAAGCCCUCUAUUUAAGGUUCAAAAUUCCCAGGUAGUUUAUACACUUGUCUGUAUUUUACUGGACAGGAGGGGAUUAAAGAAAGAACUCUGUAGUUCAAGGCCCUUUCAUUUUACCUUCAAAAAACAGCAAACUCAUUUUAAAGACUCAUUGCUCAGGUGAUAGAAACUCUAUCCUCUCCAACCUUUCCAUUCUCAGAAACCAGCCUUGUGUACGUGACCGCCCCAGACAGCAGGCCGAUGUUGGGUUUCUUACCCCCUCUGGAAUGCCAAAGGCAUGAUACUGGGCGACCUCUUGGUCCCGAAGAAAAUGUGUUUGAUUCUGAGGGCAAACUGCCAAUGGAGAACCAACUUUCGGGCAGGCUCAGCUAUCCUGGCAGAAGCUGAGUCACGGAUGUUUGCUGGUGCCUGGCAGCCCUAGAUUCACCCAACACCAGAAUCCCACUUUUCUACACCUGCCUUUUGUUCUUGAAGACUUCUGAACCCACAGCUUCAGCAAAAGGACUCUCCCAAGCUGCCUCUGGACGACCAACACUGGAGACUCUGGCCUUACCAUGUGGAAAUAGUUUUCCUGAAGUCUGGAACUAAUUUUGAGAAGUUUUUUUCUCAACACUUUUGUGUUUCUAACACUGUAUUCUUGACUGUGUAAAUACCAACAAGGCUGUAAAUAAAUGCAGAUGUAGAUACCUUCUAGAAAAGAAAAAAAAAGGCAUAAAAACAAAACUAGAAGUGAUCCCGUGUAGCCUUCGUUGACAAAUAAAAGAA
Balaenoptera musculus (blue whale) is the source of this 12955-nucleotide RNA transcript. It is a transcript of the gene named teneurin transmembrane protein 4, with no coding region annotated. The record is from RefSeq and is a predicted model, not a curated record. The transcript is spliced from 34 exons. NCBI's taxonomy places the organism in Eukaryota, Metazoa, Chordata, Mammalia, Artiodactyla, Balaenopteridae.